AAACUUUCCAACAACGGAUCUCUUGGUUCUGGCAUCCAUGAAGAACGCACCGAAAUGCGAUAAGUAAUGUGAAUUGCAAAAUUCAGUGAAUCAUCGAAUCUUUGAACGCACAUUGCGCCCGCCAGUAUUCUGGCGGGCAUGCCUGUCCGAGCGUCAUUU
This 159-nucleotide ribosomal RNA is filed under the name Trichoderma virens. RNAcentral describes it as "5.8S ribosomal RNA". It matches the Rfam family "5.8S ribosomal RNA". From Rfam's summary of the family: 5.8S ribosomal RNA (5.8S rRNA) is a component of the large subunit of the eukaryotic ribosome. It is transcribed by RNA polymerase I as part of the 45S precursor that also contains 18S and 28S rRNA. The record is from RNAcentral. Lineage: Eukaryota; Fungi; Ascomycota; Sordariomycetes; Hypocreales; Hypocreaceae.